Molecule: long non-coding RNA, 4574 nt
Filed under: Gallus gallus (chicken)
Lineage: Eukaryota; Metazoa; Chordata; Aves; Galliformes; Phasianidae
Source: RNAcentral
CACUGGUGGUUUUCUUUUAUUUAUAUAUAUUUUAAGGCAACAUAUUAUAAAAGAUGGAAGGAGAAAAACAAACCUGUAAUAUGAGGUGAGUCAACUGUCAACGUAUAUGCACAGCCCUUGACACAGUAUCUCAGCAAAGAAAAACUUCAGUGGCCAAAACGUAAGUUUGUGUACUAAAGAGAAACUGCUCAAGCCUUUUUCUCCUAAUGCAAAAAGCAAUGUUCCCAAGUGGACAUCUCUCCUCUCUAGUGCAAUACCUUGUAGAUGUGACUAAACCUAAAAGUAAUUUCUAAGAAAAGAUUCUUGCAUGUAACACAAUGUAUGUACUGCCUUCCUAACCCUCCUUUUGCUCAUUGUCAAAUGACGAUGUGAAGAAUUAUAUAAGAAAGCAAAACAACAAAGAAAAAAAUUAACUUAAUUUACACAACCAAUAAAAAAAAGUUUAAAGCAAUGACAGGAAAAUAACAUAAAGGCUAGAUAUGUUAAAUGCCAGUUCAACAAUAUUAAGCUUUGGUAGAACAGGUAAAGAGCAUAGCACCAAUAAAUUCCAAUGUCAAUACAUGCUUCAGUAUGUAUGAGCUGUGAUGAAAAUGUAAAUUUUGGCAAGAAAAGUAGUGUACGUUCCCUGACGCCACAGUUUCAUUUCAACAUCUAACAAAAAGUCUUUGGGCUCUUUGACCUGUCGCUGAAGAUAGACAAUGCCCGUGUAUGAGUUCAGCCUCCGAGUGCUGAAGUAGUUUUCUUCAUUUCCUUUGUUGAUCGUAAGGAUUAUGUUGUCUCCAGCAUAGGCAGGCGAUGGUCCAAUACGGAAAAUGUGUGCUGGGACCAUGAUGUUGGUUUGGAAGUUCAGCUGGUAAUAGGUGAUGCGCACUGGAGUAUUUUGGCAGUCCAGAUAAUUAAAGCAGCUGAUUCGUUCACACCUCAUGUCAGACACCUUUCUGUAGUUGGAGGGGCACUCAAAGGACAGGCAGCGGAAACUGCCCUGGAUGUUAUAGCAGGACUCCGCAGCUGAACAGUUGUGGGUUCCUAUUGCGCAUUCAUCAAUGUCUCGACAGGUCCUUCCAUUUGCUGCCAUGGUGUAUCCCUGCUCAGGACAAGCGCAUUGGUAACUGCCAGGAACAUUCACACAGCGGAAAGUGCAAAGAAUGCCCGCGCUUUGCGUGCACUCAUCGAUAUCUUUACAAGAAUGGCCAUCUUCUGCCAGCUGGAAACCUUGCCUGCAGUAACACUGAUAGGAACCGUAAACAUUGGCACACUCCUGGCUGCAGGGACUUGUAUCACAUUCAUUCACAUCUUCGCAAUGCUUUCCAUCAUAAGACAAGUGGAAACCAGAAGAACAAGUGCAAUGGUAGGACCCGGGGGUGUUCUCACACGUGUGCUGACACAGGCGUCCAGGGUAAUUCCAGCACUCAUUUAUAUCAAUGCAGCUCCUGCUGAAUGCAUCAUACUGAUAGCCCAUCUUGCAGUCACAGCGAUAAGCCCCAGGAAGAUUAUGACAAAUCUGUCCUUCGCCACAGCGGUGUACACCAGUCUGACAUUCAUCCACAUCAACACAUCGAGUUCCAUCCUCAUUGGAGUGGUAGCCUCUGCUGCAUGUCAACAUGUUCCUCUGGCAGGUGUAAGACCCGACAGUAUUGAUGCAGUUGAAUCCUGGCUUACAUGGCUCAGGAAGAGAUGUGCAUUCAUUAAUAUCAACACAGUUUCCCUCAGGAUCUUGUAAAAAUCCAUCCAUGCAACGCUGCUUUGACUCACAGUAGAAUGACCCUUCUGUAUUCUGACAAACGAAGUUUACUUUGCAGCUGUGGGUUCCUCUCUCGCACUCAUCAAUAUCAACACAUUCUCCAUCCUUAAGUUCAUAACCUGGCUGACAGCUCAAUUCCUGGAGGCAUUUAAAUGAUCCCAUCGUGUUGACGCAGUGCUCUCUCCGCUGGCAGGUGUGCGCAUCCGUUACGCAUUCGUUGAUGUCUUCACAAGAAAUCCCAUCAGCCAUGAUAGUAUAUCCGGACAAACACGAGCAUACAACAUUUCCUUCCAUAACGCUGCAGAUGUGCUUGCAGGGGCCGUUAUCUUUACACUUAUCCUGCUCUUCUUGUAAGGACACAAUGAGAAGAGGCUGAGGAGAGGCUGCUGGAGGGAUAGUGGCUUCUACUUCCAGCCUUGUCACCUGUCCUCGGUCAGGAUCUGGAGAGCAGCUGGUCCCAUCUUCUUGCAAAGUAAAUUCUGGGAAACAUGAACACUUGUAGGACCCCACAGUGUUUAUACACAAAUGCUGACAGAGUUCCCCACCAUACAGAAGACAUUCAUCCAGGUCAUCUCCAGGCAGGUUAUUUGACAGUUCGGCUUCAUUACUGAUGGACAAAGCUUCAUUGUGAUCUUCUGUCUCUGAAAUCUUCUCAGGUGUUGCAGUUGGCGAAGGUUCAGGAUGCUUUUUAAUUUCUGGAUGGAUGAAGUGAUCUCCGCCUUCACAGCAGGACAGCAUCACGUGGCUGCAGGGGUAGCCCAGAUUUAUGUUGGACUCACAGGUUUUCCCCUCACUCCUUAAUCGCAGGCCCAGAUUGCAGCAAUCACAGCAUUGCUUAUAUGAGGAUCCUCCACAGUUAUCGCUUUCCUCUGGUCCACAUGCAUCUCCCUCCUUUGCAGCAAUCAUGCCAGCCAGGCAGCUGUUCUCCUUGACGGUGGAGAUGCAACACUGCUUCUGAGCAAUUCUGCAAAUAUCACCAUCCACUCCACUGAUAGGAGUUUCUGUGCACUCCCCGUUGUCUAUAGCCCACUGCUGUCCAGCUCCACAGCAGCUCUCAAUCAGUUCCUUUGUAGAACCUUCUGGUAAUCUGGGGUUAGCGUGAAUAGAGUUGGGGUCCCCAUCUUCCUCAGGAUGGUAACGAUACAGUGUCUGUGACUGCUUUUGGGAUGACUGACUACGGUCUUCCUUUAGAGCAACAGGGGGAGAGGUUGUUGCACUGAACUUUACCUUGGGAAAGGCAUUUCCCUCAUGUGUUUCCUGGGAAGAUUUUGCUGAGCUUGGCUCUGUUAAAUUCACCUCUUUUAAGUCUAGAUGAAUACUGUUCCCUGGGUCUUCUUUUCUGGUGUGCUUUUUCAUUUUAGAAUGGGGUGUUCUUUCUUGCUCACUCUUUUCCUUGUCCCCCUGCUUCCCCUUUGGUCUCCUGUCCAGUUUCCCCAGCUGUUUGGGUGUCUCAGUGGUGGCUGUGGUGUGCUCCAGAGGAGCACUGGUUGUUACUGGGGCUUCCUUAUGUGUUGUUUGCUGGGGGGGUGGUGCAGUGGUGCUGGGCACCCUCUUCCACUCAGUUCUUUCAGUGGCACUGCGAAAUUCAGAGAGAAGCUUCGGUGCUGGUGUGGUGAGCGGAGUGGUUGUUUCCUCAGCAUACAUACCAGCCACAGCUGAACUUGAAGGAGCAAUGCUGACUGGUAGGUAGUCGUAAUCCUCACUUUGCUCUUGGCUGAUGCUCUCCUGCUCGAGAUGGGAAGAAUAGCUCCUGUAUUUUUUUGGAGAUUCCACCUGGGCGUUGUCUCCUUCUGGUGCCUCCUGGUCGUAGCUGUACGGAUCAUCGUAGUGCCUCUCUGGUUCAUUGUCUUCAGCAUCCAUGGGACUCACGGUGUUUAAGGCAAACGUGUUACAGUUGGGAAGCUGGUAGCACAUCAGCUCGCCACCAGCAUUUGGGCAAUGGCAGACCUUGCACGGGGGCAUGUGGAAGGUGUGUCCUGCUACGUAUUUCUGGCCCUCGUGGAGGCAGCCUAUUCUUCCACAUUGAGGGCACCCGUCCGCUGGCACCACUGCAUCAAUGCAGUUUGGGGGCAACUCUGGGCACAGCAUGAACUGGCAGCUGAUCUUACCCCCUCCCUUGGGGCACGAACACUCAGUGCUUCCGAAGUCCACAAAGUAAGACUGCCCUUCGGGUACUUUGCCAUUGACGAAGCCCACGUUGACGCAGUCAUAGUACUGGUAGCCUUCACAUGUGCAGCCAUGCUGCAGACAUGUGGCGCAGCACUCACCAGGCUCCAGCACGUCCUCGAUGCAGUUGUCCAAGGGCUGGCACUCCACGCCUGUGCAGUCCCUCUGUGCGUGGGAAACGCCGCUCCACAGCAGCAUGAAAAAGGCAGCAUUCAGACAGCUCCGCUGCCAACUCUGGUGCCUAUCCAUAGUCUUCCCAAAAACACAGCUCCAGUCCAAAGGUGCGCUUUUAAGGGUUGCUGGUUUCUUUUCUAGAAGACUGUAUAUUCAGCUCCAAUUCUGCAGCGUUUUCCUGAGUUACCUUCUCUCAUAGACCCUGUGGAUGUGCAGCACUGUAGAUGCAGAGAGUUUUCCUAUCACCUUUUGUUCCCAGCCAUGUCAGCUGUGCUCUGCUCCAAGUGCUGCUCACACUCCCAAAUCCCCUUUUCCAGCUCUAUCUUAGGAACUGCCCAGAUUUUGUAGUGUAAUCUGAGCAGGGAAGUACCAUGUGCCUAUGAUAUGGUCAAUUCACGUUUUACCCCCUGCUAUGCUAAGGAAGCUGCUUCGCAUUACAAAGCCGUGUGACCGCCUGACCCAGGUAUGGCUGGAGCACGCCAGGGCUGCCUCC